RNAcentral lists this ribosomal RNA (203 nucleotides) under uncultured bacterium. RNAcentral's name for it is "partial 16S ribosomal RNA". It matches the Rfam family "Bacterial small subunit ribosomal RNA", at positions 524 to 724 of the family's 1533-position model. The record is from RNAcentral.
UACGUAGGGGGCAAGCGUUGUCCGGAAUCAUUGGGCGUAAAGAGCGUGUAGGCGGCCCGGUAAGUCCGCUGUGAAAAGUCCAGGGCUCAACCCUGGGAUGCCGGUGGAUACUGUCGGGCUCGAGUCCGGAAGAGGAGUGUGGAAUUCCUGGUGUAGCGGUGAAAUGCGCAGAAUAUCAGGAGGAACACCAAUGGCGAAGGCAG